AAGUAACGUAGACGAAAGUUACGCUAAUACCGCAUAUUCUGUGAGCAGGAAAGCAGGGGAUCGCAAGACCUUGCGCUGAUUGAGCGGCCGAUAUCAGAUUAGCUAGUUGGUGAGGUAAAGGCUCACCAAGGCGACGAUCUGUAGCGGGUCUGAGAGGAUGAUCCGCCACACUGGAACUGAGACACGGUCCAGACUCCUACGGGAGGCAGCAGUGGGGAAUUUUGGACAAUGGGCGCAAGCCUGAUCCAGCCAUGCCGCGUGAGUGAAGAAGGCCUUCGGGUUGUAAAGCUCUUUCGGCCGGGAAGAAAUCGCACAGGUUAAUACCCUGUGUGGAUGACGGUACCGGAAUAAGAAGCACCGGCUAACUACGUG
This 372-nucleotide ribosomal RNA is filed under the name uncultured bacterium. RNAcentral's name for it is "bacterial SSU rRNA". It matches the Rfam family "Bacterial small subunit ribosomal RNA", at positions 141 to 507 of the family's 1533-position model. The record is from RNAcentral.